CCAACCGCCAAACGAACCCUAGCCAAUCCGACCCCAACCGCCAAACGAACCCUAGCCCCCUUUCUUCGUCCCCUCAAUCCCUAUAGCCGCUGCACCCCUCCCUCUCCCUUCUGUGCGUGCGCUCGACCAAGGACGUCGUCGUCGCCCUCGGCUGCUCCUCCACCACCCCGCCUCUUUCUCCUCGCCUUCCCAUCGGUUGCGCUCAGGUCGUCACCGUCGACGAAUAGGAUAGUGCGGGCCGCUUCCUCCUUUUCCUCCGGCCGGAUCUAUGGCGUGCGACCGCGGAGGCGAGCCUCUCCGGUGGCAGAGGCAAAGGGCGACCACAUGGAUCGAUCCCUGCAGGAGAUAGAAGAUGGGAGAGAGGGAAAGAAGGAAGGAGAGGAGGAAGACCCAGUGGCGGGCGGGAGAGGGUCACCAGCCGGCGCCGGCGAGGUCAAGUGCGACCUGAUGGUUGGUGGCGGCUCGAUCCACUCCUGGAUCUUUAUUGUUCCACUUCCCCACUACCUAACACCGAGCAAGAGGGCUGCCCGAGGAAGAGGGUGAGGACGCAGGGAUUGAAGAGGGUGUUCCCGCAUUCAUCGUCUGGCCAAGUGCAAGGACGAGGACGAGGACGCGGGGUGGAGCAUGUCAUCCCUCUGGUUAUCGCCUUCCUUUCUGCUGCUGGGCUGAGAUGAGGGUUUUCUCCAGCGAUUGUGGUGGCCUGAGUCAGAGAUCGACAGCCAGAUGCUUGUGGCUACCACACAAAACGUGCUCUCUUACUGACCUCGAGGUCCGAGCCGCAAUUCCUCUUGUUUUUGCUCCAAGGUAUAGAAGAAGGACCUUUGCUUAAUGGUUGAUUUUCUUCUGCUCACGGCAGCUUGCUCGAGGCAAACAUGCAAGCCUGACGUGCACUGAUGGCGCUGCCGGCAGUAUCAAGGAUGGAAACAGCAAGACACUCUUUUAGGUCAGAGAAACUGGCGGUGCCAAUGAUAACGCCUGAACCUUCGUGACUGCAGCAGCCACCAUCAUGUUGUAGCUCAGCCAGACCACGACCAUCGAUAGGUGACCAUCUUCAUUGAGGUAUAGAAAACAAUCCAUGUAUUGCCAUGCUUAUGUUCUCUAAAGUUUUACAUCCUUCAAUCCCACUCAUUGACAAGACUUAGACAAACACUUUUACUGGUGAUGGUGGGGCUUUUUUUAACUGAGAUGUGCAAGAUGCAUCUUAUCCCCCGAGAAAUAUUGCCUUUAAUUUCUUGAUUUUUUUCCUGGCAUGCUAAUUUAGAGCCAGAUAUGCAUGAUUCAUAAUACACAUUACAGUCAAUUAUCCAUUGGAAUCUUUUGUCCAUAGAGGUGAUUUUGUUUGGACCAUUAGUCUAGGUAGUGACAUUUUGAUCGAUAAGGCACAAGUUUAUUUUCUUUUUGACUCAGGGCUACACUAAAGUAAGAAUCACCGUUAGUGAAAAGAAGGCAUACAAAUCAUGAAGCUUUUGCCUUGGUUGAGUUCCUCAUUUAAUUGUCACUUAUUUAUUUGAAGGAAGUUAUUCAAUUCUCAUCGGCUUUCCUUAAUGCUUUCCAUUUCUAAAUAAGAAAUUUAAUACUCGAUAUUUUUAAUAUGUGAGGAGGCGGGGGGGGGGGGGGGGAAGAAAAGGGGCUGUCAGGUCGGACUUUUGGUGCGUCUCUGACCAGAGAUAGCUGGAUCCAUCUGAUGCUCUUCCAAACAGUGCAGUGCAGAUUUGCUGACUGGUUUAACAAUGCAUGUCGGUUGGUCGGUGUACUAAUUUUGAUGCUUCUUGAUCGGUGUUUCGGAAGCCAUGGAUAUUUGCACAAGCUUCCUUCAUCUUUACUAUUUUCUAUCUUUAGUGUUUCUUUGAUAUUCCUUUGUAACUGUCUGAUGUUCUGCCUUGGGUGUCCUCUGUCUUGGUUUACAUCUCCAUAUGGCUAGCUAUGUAUACACACGUAGGUUUUGUUUGGACUGUACUCAAAUCACAGAGAUGUUUCCAUAUUCAUGCAUUCCUCUCUUUAACUCAUGAUUGUUAGAUAGUUGAAUAUCAUUGGUUUGCGUCGGCAUUCUAUUUUUGCAAUUUGAAAUAGGUAUUGGUCCAUUGAUAUUAAAUUUCACAAUAGAUAGUGGAAUCUUCAGGUAAAAGUAGUGGCAGAUAUGUUGGACACUUCUUUUUCGAUGCAGAAAUGAUGUUAUUGACUUGAGUCCUCAACACAUAUUUUUCAGUAACGGAGAGGAUUAUUCACCUUUGCCGCGGUAGGCGUUAAGACCUGACAGAGCCAGGCCAAUGGGCACUAUUAGUGUUAAACACCCGACCCUGAUGAGCCCUUACAGCCCGUGCUACUGGCCAGACAUCUUCUUUGGGUCCGGAACGAAACCAGUAGGGGCACCUUGAGCGAGUACUCGAGGCGUGCAGUCAAGUCGUACAGGAAAUGCGACCAGACCAGCUUUCCUGUUUACAAUUGUUUGGAUCGUUCAACAGCAAAGUAGAACCCAUAUGAUUGACCCUGAUGCAUGUCAUGCGUUAUCUGCAGUAUAUCUCAAUUUUGAAUGUGAUAUGUCGUGUAUGUAUAUACUAAAAUUGAGCUUUUUAUCAAUACCGGGCUGCAAAAUUAUUAUG
Long non-coding RNA from Triticum urartu, 2600 nucleotides. RefSeq lists it as uncharacterized. Lineage: Eukaryota; Viridiplantae; Streptophyta; Magnoliopsida; Poales; Poaceae. The record is from RefSeq and is a predicted model, not a curated record.